GUCCCAAGUAGCUUAAAACAAAGCGCUGGUCUUGUAAACCAGCAAUAGACUUUAAAAUCUCUGGGACA
RNAcentral lists this transfer RNA (68 nucleotides) under Teratoscincus microlepis (Small-scaled wonder gecko). Its description in RNAcentral is "tRNA-Thr". It matches the Rfam family "tRNA". Rfam says of the family: Transfer RNA (tRNA) molecules are approximately 80 nucleotides in length. Their secondary structure includes four short double-helical elements and three loops (D, anti-codon, and T loops). The record is from RNAcentral. Lineage: Eukaryota; Metazoa; Chordata; Lepidosauria; Squamata; Sphaerodactylidae.